Molecule: ribosomal RNA, 464 nt
Filed under: Vreelandella stevensii
Lineage: Bacteria; Pseudomonadati; Pseudomonadota; Gammaproteobacteria; Oceanospirillales; Halomonadaceae
Description: partial 16S ribosomal RNA
Rfam family: Bacterial small subunit ribosomal RNA
Source: RNAcentral
CCUACGGGCGGCUGCAGUGGGGAAUAUUGGACAAUGGGCGAAAGCCUGAUCCAGCCAUGCCGCGUGUGUGAAGAAGGCCUUCGGGUUGUAAAGCACUUUCAGUGGGGAAGAAAGCCUUGGGGCUAAUACCCUCGAGGAAGGACAUCACCCACAGAAGAAGCACCGGCUAACUCCGUGCCAGCAGCCGCGGUAAUACGGAGGGUGCGGGCGUUAAUCGGAAUUACUGGGCGUAAAGCGCGCGUAGGCGGUCUGAUAAGCCGGUUGUGAAAGCCCCGGGCUCAACCUGGGAACGGCAUCCGGAACGGUCAGGCUAGAGGGCAGGAGAGGAAGGUAGAAUUCCCGGUGUAGCGGUGAAAUGCGUAGAGAUCGGGAGGAAUACCAGUGGCGAAGGCGGCCUUCUGGACUGACACUGACGCUGAGGUGCGAAAGCGUGGGUAGCAAACAGGAUUAGAUACCCCAGUAGU